AGGAUUGCUCACGUUACUUCAGCCAAUCAGAGAACUGUGCAUGAGUGGAUUGCUUAUCAUGUAGCCCCCCUCCCUCACCAGGCCUUUCAAAAUACUUUGCUGAAACCUUCUGGGGAGUUGGGGGUUUGGGGGGCAAGAAAGAAAGUGAAGUCGCUCAGUGGUGUCCGACUCUUUGCGACCCCGUGGACUGUAGCCUACCAGGCUUCUCCAUCCAUAGGAUUCUCCAGGCAAGAAUACUGGAGUGGGUUACUGUUUCCUUCUCCAGAGGAUCUUCCUGACCCAAGGAUUGAACCCAGGUCUCCUGCAUUGGAGGCAGACACUUUAACCACUGAGCCACCAGGGAGCGACCCAUUUUCCUUGCAUGGCCUGCAGUAAGCCUUUCUCUGUUCCAAACACCAACAUUUCAGUACUGUUUGGCCUCACUGUGCCAUCAGGCACAAGGACUUGGCCUUUGGGAACAAGAGAAACAGAGGCCUGAGCCCCUUUCCAGAAGAUUUCCCAGCUGAGCUGAUUGGCUGUGGCAUUAGUCCAGGUAACCAAGUACCCUUUCCACGCAGAAGCAGCAGACCCAGAGUCAUAGCCAAGCACAAGCACAUACGUCUUUCACAGAGCACUGCGCUCUCUCAGGGCCGAGUCUCACCUUGGAGGUUGAUGAUGCUCCGAAGUCACGGGGAGCUGGAGCCCAUCUCCACCGACAGCCGUCUGGCUUUUGGAUUCCAGUCACAUUCUUCACCAGCCGAAGGGAGUGCUCAAGGCCCUUCUGUCCAUGGGAUUCUCCAGGCAAGACUACUGAAGUGGAUUGCCAUGUCCUCCUCCAGGGAUCUUCCUGACCCAGGGAUCGAACCCACACCUUUUAUGUCUCCUGCAUUGACAGGAUAGAUCAAUGAAAUCCUCCGAGUGGCAUGACCCUUCAUGUGGCUCUUGCUUGCCUAUCCAGCCAAAUCUUCCCCCUCCCUGCUUCGUAUUUGUGCUGUCACCUGAAAUGCUGCCAGGCUUCACCCUGAUCUCUAGGGUGUGGCUCUUAGCUUUCACACACCUUGUACUUUCCCCAUUAAAAUAAUGAUCAGGGAUUUCCCUGGUGGUCCAGUGGCUAAGACUCUGUGCUCCCAAUGCAGGGGGAGCUGUGAUCAAUCCCUGGUCAGGGAACUAGAUCC
Molecule: long non-coding RNA, 1154 nt
Organism: Bos taurus (domestic cattle)
Lineage: Eukaryota; Metazoa; Chordata; Mammalia; Artiodactyla; Bovidae
Source: Ensembl